Molecule: ribosomal RNA, 250 nt
Filed under: uncultured bacterium
Lineage: Bacteria
Description: partial 16S ribosomal RNA
Rfam family: Bacterial small subunit ribosomal RNA
Source: RNAcentral
GACGAACGCUGGCGGCGUGCUUAACACAUGCAAGUGGUGCGACGAACCAGGCUUCGGCCUGGGGCCAAGCCGCGAACGGGUGAGUAACACGUGGGUAACCUGCCCCGAUGACUGGGACAACCCGAGGAAACUCGGGCUAAUACCGGAUGUAAUCCGAGCCCUCAAGGAUUCGGAUCAAAGGAAGCUUCGGCCUCCGCAUUGGGAUGGGCCCGCGGCCCAUUAGCUUGUUGGUGAGGUAACGGCUCACCAA